This 106-nucleotide ribosomal RNA is filed under the name Butyricimonas faecihominis. Its description in RNAcentral is "partial 23S ribosomal RNA". It matches the Rfam family "Bacterial large subunit ribosomal RNA", at positions 1 to 111 of the family's 2925-position model. Lineage: Bacteria; Pseudomonadati; Bacteroidota; Bacteroidia; Bacteroidales; Odoribacteraceae. The record is from RNAcentral.
AACAACGAAGGGCGCGCGGUGGAUGCCUAGGCUCUCGGAGGCGAUGAAGGACGCGAUAAGCCGCGAUAGGCCACGGCGAGGUGCAAGUAACCCUUGACCCGUGGAU